RNAcentral lists this signal recognition particle RNA (300 nucleotides) under Saimiri boliviensis boliviensis (Bolivian squirrel monkey). Its description in RNAcentral is "Metazoan signal recognition particle RNA (ENSSBOG00000010958.1)". It matches the Rfam family "Metazoan signal recognition particle RNA". Rfam says of the family: The signal recognition particle (SRP) is a universally conserved ribonucleoprotein. It is involved in the co-translational targeting of proteins to membranes. The record is from RNAcentral. Lineage: Eukaryota; Metazoa; Chordata; Mammalia; Primates; Cebidae.
GCCGGGCACGGCAGCGCAUGCCUGUAGUCCCAGCUACUAGGGAGGCUGAGGUGGGAGGAUCACUUGAGCCCAGGAGUUCUGGGCUGAAGUGCGCUAUGUCAAUCGGGUGUCCACACUAAGUUCAGCAUCAAUAUGGUGACCUCUCAGGAGCAGGGGGACCACCAGGUUGCCUAAGGAGGGGUGAACCGGCCCAGGUCAGACACGGAGCAGGUCAAAACUCCCGUGCUGAUCAGCAGUGGUAUUGCGCCUGUGAACAGCCACUGCACUUCAGCCUGGGCAACACAGCGAGACCCCAUCUCU